RNAcentral lists this long non-coding RNA (6334 nucleotides) under Gallus gallus (chicken). The record is from RNAcentral. Lineage: Eukaryota; Metazoa; Chordata; Aves; Galliformes; Phasianidae.
UGCUAAGUCAUGUCUUGAGCCAGUGAUUGAGCACCUGGUGGGAAGGCAGGGACAACCCAGAGGAGCUCAGGUGCAUGCAAUGAACCUGACCUCAUUUAAGGGCUUAAGCCCUUUGACAGGGUAGGGCCUCACCCUGAAGAAGUGUUUGGGAUGUGAUGUUACCUCACGAAUGUGAUCUUCAUUGUUAUGUAGCUUUGAAUAUCCAGGACAGCUGCAGUUCUACAACCAAGGAAAAGUCAAUAGGAAAGAAGUAACUUUGGAAUCCCCAACCCCAGCAAGAGUCACCUGUUAAUCUUGUCAUAAAAGUUCAGCCCCUCUAAUUCAUUCACCUGGGUGAAUUCUUUUACCCCUACUUCCAUUUCAGUGCCCACAUGUGCAAGUGUCUUGGCUGUUGGAUUUGGCUUGUAAACUAAAGAAAGGCUUUGAGUCUCAUGUGCCAUGGGUCUCUCUUCAUCAGUUUCACACAACUGACUGGGUAGAGUGAGGCUGGCACCCAGUUCGUGAGCAUCAGUGAUGCUUAUAGGUAAAGCUGGUGUUGAAGGAAGCCCCUGGGCAGGUGAGCAGCUCUCUGACUGAGUCAAGGGGAGGAAGGGUGCAGUUAUUGGGCCUGCUUUAGCUUUUUUGAUUGUAUUUAGCUUUCUGCAGACUCUUCUCUGAAGUCUUGGACACUCAGACCAGCAACUGGAAAUGUAUUAGAAUAUCAACAUUAUUUAUAUCUUCCUAUCUACAUAUAGAGGACCUCUUUCACACGCAUCUCUCCCGUUCUGUUCCAACCCCUGCUUUUAUUCAUUCUUUGUCAAACAGUGCAAUUUAGCUGUAGUAGGAUUUUUGUUUUGUAGGAUUAGUCAAAUACUGCCUUUCUGUGGUAUUUCAAUGCUUUCUCUAUUUUGCUAUCCAAAAGCAGGUGUCUGGGAACACUCUAUCAAGAGGUGUAUUUAAAGAACUAGAGCUUUGCAUGGUAUUUAUAUUUAUUAUCAUGUGAUGGAAAGGGGGGAAAAAAAUCUUUGUGACAUUUACUUGUGCAGCCCACCUGUUGCUGCCCAUAGCAAAGCUGGGACGUUUGUGUACUGCUGUAGUUGACUUGCUGCGUUCCCUAUGAUGAUAAAGCUACAGUCAGAUUCUUAAUUUCAGCUUGUGUAAAUUACUAGUAAGACAGAGUGAGCCUUAGAUAAUAAAAGACAAAUGGAUGCUGCUUCUGAGACACUGGAGUGUUGCCACACAAGUAUUCUAUUAUAUUGGAUAUAUUCUCCAUGUUCUGGCUACCAUCUGUAGUUAACUUCCCUGCCAGCAGUGCAUGUUGGGUUAGAAAAAAACAGAGUUACAACAUGUUGGCUGAGCUUUCAGCUCAAUCCUGGUUGUUAUUAUUAUUGUAAUGGAGAAACAACUGAGGCCAAUUUUUGGAAUAGAGCACAAAUGCUCACAACAUCCUGUCCUGCUAAUUCGUAAGGCUUCUUUCAGCUGUGAACUUUCAGUGGGAAUCACAAAGAUAAGACCCUGAUGGUUUACUUCAAGAACUGAAGGAUGAGUGUGCCAUGUCAAUGUUUCUAUGGUUCCUUAGAGGAAUGGUUAUUGUAAUAAAUGGUGAUGCAUGCUUGAAUAGAUAGAUCUUGUUUAUGGAAGCAUUCAGUGUCAGGGAGAUAGUGUAUGUACAAUGUACACAGACAAAUGACACAAAUAAUUCCAUUGCUCUACUGUGAUAUGAGUAUGUGCAGCUUGGUUUGGAGUAGUUGCUAGAUUGCCUUAACUUUUGACACUGCCUUUUUCUUACUAGUGUUGGAGCCUGUGCAAUAACACACAGGUUAUGGUAUCUGGAUCUGAAUAGGAUGUGAGCAGAGUGGCCAGUGCACAACCUUUGAAGGGCUGAAAUGCAUUUCUAAUUGGGGUUUUGAGAAGUUUUAACUCCUCCCCAGUCUCUGGGUAGCAUCCGGAUGUUAUGGUGUAUUAGUUCUGGUAAGAACAAAGUCAAAUUUCCUUUCAAGACCACCCCUCACCUAUAUGAAACACUACUGAUUUAAUAUAUGUAGUAUUCAGGAUGGAAGUAGAGCUACAGAGACCAAGAGCACACAUUGGAUGAUAUUAAUGCUUUAGCAAGAGACCAGAUUACCCAAGAUCCAGGAAUUUUGCACCAUGUGCUCCUAAAAAAAAAAAAAAAAAAAAAAAAAAAAAAACUGGUGACUUGGCAUGGGUAUAGCCCUGUUAUUAAUUCCUGUGCAUUUUAAAUACAAACAUGUAGGCAGCAAACAGAACAUAUCCUGAUAGGAGUCUCACCCCUUCUUUUGCCAAAUGAUGCUAUUCUGAAAUACAGUACUGGCUUAGGACACCUAGCAUGUUUUUUUGGAAGCAGACAUAAAUUUUGGAAGAAAAGAUCAGGUGACGAAAGUGAAGAAAGAUAUUUCAGGUACGGUUAUGUAGCAGUAGAAAUCUAGGUGGGAGAAUUAAUUUGAAAACGCGUUUUCUUCACUGAAGAGGCUCAGGCAGAUCUUUGAUUUAAUGCGUUGCCACCAAUGUAAAUGGUAGGUAAAAAUGCCCUUGGCUGUGUUGUUUCUCUGAAAUAGAGGGCUAUGUUGGACAAGCAAAUUUGUGUUCUGAGUUCUUGGGGGUACAGUAACUUGCAUGUGAAACAUGAAACAAAAUGAGGGAGGACACUCAGGAUUCCCCUGUAUACUUGAAGGCAUUCAACAGUAAGAUAUGAAGCCACACUUUGCUUUCAUUUGUCCUCCAGAAUCUUUUAGUAUUUGUCAUAUAUCAAUUCGAAUUGGGUUUUCACCUCACAUACCUUAGUCCUCAGGUUGGUGGUUGGAGGCUUCUCCAAGGAGUAGGAGCAUGCGUACAUAUCUCAAGUCUGAUGUGGAUAUGGAAUCUGGGGACCCCUUCUUAGGGAAGUGUGAGCCAUGGGCCAUCAUAUAGUCUUUAUGCUGGAGACAGGGUUUCUGCACAGUGUCAAAUAUACAUCCAUCUCUGUGAUUGGUCUUAGAAAAUGAAAUAUAAGAUGUGCAAACUCAGAGCUGAUGUCUCUUGCACAAUAUUCAGUGCAAGGCAGCUCAUGCAAACCAGGUGUUUGAGUGAAUGUGGCUUUCAUUAUCCCCAUUCUCCAAAGCUCUCAUCUCAAACAUAUUGCAUGUAAAACCACUUCUGUUGUUUAAAAUAUAAAUUGUUCAGAAAUAUAGAGAGUCAUUCAUUGGUCAAACUCAUAGUUUUCUGUGACAAACCAAUCUGGAUUUUGACAAAACUUUUGUCUUUUUUCUCUAAAUCAGUGUCCUGAGUGUGUACAUCCUUGAACUAAUGGGAAUUGUCUGUAUACAGAUCCUAAACUUGUAUCUUAGACUACUUCCUUUACUGAUUAAAAUAGUCAUUUUUAUCUCUGUGGAAUGUUUGCUUUGGAGAUCAGAAAUAUUCUGCCCUUGAGCUUAGGGAAUCAGGGAGGGGAAUGUUUUUGUAUUAGAAUUAUUUGUUUGUUGUCCUGACUCUCUGAAGUGUACAUUUUGUAUUUUUGUUCUUCACAAUGAAUAGGUAUAAACCUGAGAGUUCUUCUGACUUUGUUUUUUUUUGAAGUGACAGCAUUUCACUCAAUUUCUGAAUAUAACAGCUGCAUAAAAUACAGCACUUUGUGCUCCUGGCAUAGAAGGGAAGAAAGCAACUGCACUCUCUCAAUGUUUUUUUUUUUUUUUUGAGAGGUUAGACAGCAAUUUAGUUAAUAUAUAGCUAGUACUGCUUAUUUUAAGGCAGGGAUGUAAUUGAUAGCAUCUUUCCAUUCUGUUACUGGGAGGAGUAUUUAUAUAACCACACUUUUUUUUUGGUUUCUUUUGUCCAUGCCAAAGAGUAGAAUUGAACUGAUACUGCAAAUGUAGUUUAAUGUGAAUGUAUUCACCUGAGUGCUUAAACCUUUCUACCUCUCAUAGCUGCUAUAGUUGCUUGAAGUGGUAUUCAGUUCUUUUGGCUGCUACACGCAAUAUCUGUAAGAGCCUAAAUCCUAUUUUCACAGAUAGCGUAAGGAUUUAGGACUUAACUCUUAUUAACUUCCUUGAAUUUAACAUGUUUUUAAAUUCAGUUCCUUGUUCCUAAGAAAUAGACAUAGAAACCCAAGAAGGGCAGUGAGAUUAGCUGUUUUGAUUAGUCAAACUAUGCUUAUUUAUUCUUUUCACCAAAAAACAGUCAGCAACUGUGAUCCUUUAGACAUAGGUGUUUAUGUUACUUCUAAUAUAGUAUUUCAUGGGGUUGGCACUGAGCUAAGUAUUAGAAGGGCUGUAGCAGUCAUUGCCCAGCAUUCCCCAUGGGCAAGGAACUUCAAGGCACAGCUUUAACGUCCCCACUGCCUGGGGAGUCUUCUGUUAGAGCUUUUCUGCCUGGCUUGAAACUCAUAAGAAAAAAAUGACACUUUAGUGGUGAUGGUGUUUAUCAAGGAGAUAAAGUACCUGGUGGCAAGAGCAACUCACUAAAAUAGCUUGAAUUAUUUGUUUAUGGUGGAAAUGUAGUCUGAGGUAUUCUUGUUCCUCCUUUCCACAUGUCUACGGUGUAAAGAGAGGGUGGAGAUGCCCUGCCAGGAGGUAGGAAUGAAAAUUCAUCAUUGCUGUUGCCCUCUUGAGUGAUUUCUUACACAAGUGGAUAUAUGACCCUGUGGUGAAAGUCCUUAUUUCCCCCUCCUUUCCCCCCACGUCUGUGCAUGUUUGACUCCAGUUUGUGUACAGCUUCUGAACAGUAUUUAUGAACGUAAGAGAAAUUGCAGCUCCUAUGGCAAACUUUGCCAUUUGUUAGAGAAAUAAAAAGCAUUUCAGUUUUUUUGCUAUUCUCAUUUGGACUCCCUGAGGUUUGGUGCCAAACUCUUCCUUUUACACAAACCAGGCCUGAUUUGGCUGACAUGUUGCUCUAAAAGAUUCCCAAAGUUGGUUGCCAGGAUUCCCUUAAGCAACCUGGUGGAAUCAGAUGAGUGAUACGUUAAUCCAUAGAUUCUAAAGCAGGGAGAUGUUUGAAAAUACUCUGUCACAGUAUCCCACACAACACAGUCCAGAGCUCUUCACCCACUCAGUCCCACAGCAGGAGGAAUUACUUUUUUCCUGUUAACACUGCAAAGUGCAACAGUCUGUGUCUGAGAUACCACACAUCCUCCUGUAGCACACUGGAUCUUCAUGUUAAUUAACCAUUGCCACUUUCUAGACUGCUGCAAUGAUUUAAAUCCUCACUGCUCGGUGUGGUCACCAUUUGGCUUCUAAAGCUGCUGUCAGUCUCCUCAAACCAGUGUUUUUUAGGAGAUGUAAACAGCCCUUUUGGUCGGUGACCACAAGACUGCAGUGGGAUCACAUCCACAGUAAAUUGGUGCCAUUAGAGAUUUUUGUCAAAUACUCCCUGAAUAAAACUACCGCUCUUUUUCAGCUCUCUUGAGAAAUGAAUAUAUCAUGAUCUGAAGUGUACUGCUAAAAGGUUUUUUUUGCAGGUUUAUAAAGAAAAAUAAUCCAGUUCCACUGACAUCUCCUUCCCCUGAAUCCUUUCUUCUCUAAAAACACUCUUGGAAACAUUACAGAGUUUUAUUGCCACCAGGCUAAUCAGGCCUUGUUUCUCACAUCUCUUCCUAUCAGGAACAAGGAUAGCUAAAGGGGGUAGGAGAGUGCCGUAAGUCAGAAUAAAAAUAGAUAAUGAGAACUGUUAGUGUUCUUCCUGUGAGGGAUUUCAGCAUUCAGGCUAUGACGUGAGGGGUCCAGUGUGGCAGAGCCUGGGCUGGCAGUGCUGAUGCCAGUUUCAGCCUUAGCUUGGACCGCUCAGCUUCUCAUAAUUUGUUUUUGAGGUCUCCAGACUUUGACAAUUUGUUUAACUGCUGAAAGUAGGAUUGGGACAGAUCUUUAGCUGGUGUAUGCAGCUUAGCUUUGUAAGCCUCGUUGGAGCCAUGCCAGUCCACACAAGCUGAGGGUAGAGCUUGCUCUGUUUUGAAUAUUCUUUCUCAUGCUUUGUAUGCUCUCCUGCAGUGUAACGAGUGCUGAUCUGGAGCAUUAAUUGCAUGCAUUUGACAGAAACAGAAUUGGAGUUAAACUUAUCGUUGUUUUGAUACAGUCUCAAAGGGGAAACUUUAUACUAGUAUUUUAAUGCAAGCAUUUGUAAACACCUGGCAAAUAGAAAUUGCAAGUCCAAUCCUUCUGCUAACGGAGUCAUUGACAAUGUUUCCUUUGGCUUUAGUAGGGAGCUGGACUGGGCUCAGUGUAAGUGGUAUACUCAAGUAUUACUGAUAACGAUUAAAUGUGUUUUAUAUAUUGAUGCUUUUUGCUGGACAGUGCAUUGGCUUUUUAUGAUUUGUUGAUAUAUACAAAUAAACUAUUUGAAAAGUUAGUAUUUCUGUGCCUUUUUUUUU